This 336-nucleotide unclassified non-coding RNA is filed under the name soil metagenome. Its description in RNAcentral is "partial contains 5.8S ribosomal RNA, internal transcribed spacer 2, and large subunit ribosomal RNA". The stretch from base 1 to 120 matches the Rfam family "5.8S ribosomal RNA", at positions 35 to 154 of the family's 154-position model. The record is from RNAcentral.
GAUGAAGAACGUAGCGAAAUGCGAUAAGUAAUGUGAAUUGCAGAAUUCAGUGAAUCAUCGAAUCUUUGAACGCACAUUGCGCCCGCCAGUAUUCUGGCGGGCAUGCCUGUUCGAGCGUCAUUUCAACCAUCAAGCCCCAGGCUUGUGUUGGGGACCUGCGGCUGCCGCAGGCCCUGAAAACCAGUGGCGGGCUCGCUGUCACACCGGGCGUAGUAGAUUUUAUCUCGCUCAGGGCGUGCUGCGGGUUCCGGCCGUUAAAAAGCCUUUUUUACCCAAGGUUGACCUCGGAUCAGGUAGGAAUACCCGCUGAACUUAAGCAUAUCAAUAAGCGGAGAA